Long non-coding RNA from Mytilus californianus (California mussel), 3427 nucleotides. RefSeq lists it as uncharacterized. The record is from RefSeq and is a predicted model, not a curated record. The transcript is spliced from 3 exons. NCBI's taxonomy places the organism in Eukaryota, Metazoa, Mollusca, Bivalvia, Mytilida, Mytilidae.
AUAAUUAAAAAAACAAAUCUUUUCUAAUAAUAAGGGACAUAACUCUCCAAUGGUAAAAAAAUACUAAACCCAUCAAAAUAAUGUAAAUGCUUAAAGCAGCUUUCAGAUUUGUUAGUUUGUAAAUACAAAAUUAGCCUCCUCCUGGCCAAAUGAAACUUAAUUAACUUUGUGAUAGAAUUUUCCAUGCCAAAAACUCUUUUAUUGGAUAAAAAAUAUGAAGUAAAAACAGUGACCUUUAUAAUCUUAAGCUUUUUUGGUACGUGAAAAAAAAUUAUCAGAUACUUAUUAUUUGGCCACAACAUUUAAUAAUUUUUUAGACACCUAUUAUCACAGAAUAUAAUUUUUGCCAUCUUAAUUAUAUUGUUAAGUGUGUUGUUGGCAUGCUGUCUCAUUGAAAUAUACCUCAGAUCCUCUUUUAUCUUAUUCAAGAUUUUCAGAAAAGCAAUUUAAAAAUCUGUUAAAGGUUUAUUCUCUAAAUAAAUAGAAUAAUUGGUCCAGUGAUCAAUGGAGAAUGUAAACGAGAUGUGGUAAAAAUGCCAAUGAGAUGUGUUAAUACAACUAAUGAGAUGCGCUUAGAAUGCAAAUGAAAUGUGGUAAAAAUGCCAAUGAGAUAAAGCUAAAGAUAUGUUGUAAUAAUGCUAAUGAGAUGUGGUAAUAAAUCUAAUGAGAUGUGGUAAUAAAGCUAAUGAGAUGUGUUAAUACAACUAAUGAGAUGCACUAAGAAUGCAAAUGAAAUGUGGUAAAAAUGCCACUGAGAUGUGGUUAUAAAGCUAAAGAUAUGUUGUAAUAAUGCUAAUGAGAUGUGGUAAUAAAGCUAAUGAGAUGUGGUAAUAAAGCCGAUGAGAUGCGCUAAGAAUGCAAAUGAGAUGUGCUAAGAAUGCAAAUGAGAUGUGGUAAUAGAGCUAAUGAGAUGCGCUAAGAAUGCAAAUGAGAUGUGGUUAUAAAGCUAAAGAUAUGUUGUAAUAAUGCUAAUGAGAUGUGGUAAUAAAGCCGAUGAGAUGCGCUAAGAAUGCAAAUGAGAUGUGGCUAUAAAGCUGAUGAGAUGUGGUAAUAAAGCUAAUGAGAUGCGCUAAGAAUGCAAAUGAGAUGUGGUUAUAAAGCUAAAGAUAUGUGGUAAUAAUGCUAAUGAGAUGUGGUAAUAAAGCUAAUGAGAUUUGGUUAUGAAGCUGAUGAGAUGCGCUAAGAAUGCAAAUGAGAUGUGGUAAUAGAGCUAAUGAUAUGUGCUAAGAAAGCUAAUGAGAUGUGGUAAUAAAGCUAAUGAGAUGUGGUAGUAAAGCUAAUGAGAUGUGGUAAUAAUGCUAAUGAGAUGUGGUUAUAAAGCUAAAGAUAUGUUGUAAUAAUGCUAAUGAGAUGUGGUAAUAAAGCUAAUGAGAUGUGGUUAUAAAGCUAAUGAGAUGUGGUUAUAAAGCUGAUGAGAUGCGCUAAGAAUGCAAAUGAGAUGUGGUAAUGGGGCUAAUGAGAUGCUCUAAGAAUGCAAAUUAGAUGUUGUAAUAGAGCUAAUGAUAUGUGCUAAGAAAGCUAAUGAGAUGUGGUAAUAAAGCUAAUGAGAUGUGGUAAUAAAGCUAAUGAGAUGUGGUAAUAAUGCUAAUGAGAUGCGCUAAGAAUACUAAUGAGAUGUGGUAAUAAUGCCAAUGAGAUGUGGUUAGAAUUCCAAUGAGAUGUGGUUAGAAUGCCAAUGAGAUUUAGUAAGAAUGCCAAUGAGAACUAUCCACCAGAGAUUGAGCCACAAGGCUGCAAGAACUAUCUUUCUUUCAUGUGAAUUUUGUGUAUACUUUGUAAGCUCCCCUAUAGCUGAUAGUUAACAUUUUCAUCAAAUUAUGAUUUAAAUUAUCCUUUCUUUAAAUAAAAUUAUUUGGUUAUUAAACUUUUUUAAAUAAACAUUGAAAAAGCUUCUAAAUUUUCUGAAAAAAUUACAUUAAAUAGGCACUUUUGAAUUUUUUGCCUAUUUAAAAAAAAAUAUACCAGUAAUGGCACAAGGAUAGAAGAUGUGUGGAAUCAAAUAGGUAACAACUAUAGUGAUGAUGAAAUAUUCUAAUAAUAACCAGUUUUUUAAUGUCUUGACUUAAUGGACUUAUUGUAUGAUGAUAUAUGCGACCAGUUAGAAUAGUGGACAAUGAAAUAUUCAAACAUGGAACUGACUGAAGUUAAUAGACUUAAAAUUCAAAAUUGAAACCAGCAAGUGAAUUAUUUACAACGGCCUUGGAACCAGCAAGUGAAUUAUUGACAUUUAUUUUGAUGUGACCAGUAUUCAUGUGGAUGGACAGUACUAGUGGACUAUAAACUGAUAAAUCUCACAGAAAGGCACAUCACAACUGAGUCUGAAGCUGUUACAUACAAAAGACAAGAUAUCCAGGAAAUAAGAAUUGUAUGUGAUCUAUUUAAAGAUCUUAGGACAGUAGGACCUGGAAGUACUAUAUUACCAACUUCAAGAUUAACUGAGCUUGAGAAAUUACAAAUCAACUGAUACAGAAGAAGAGACUUUGCCAUGUGGAUGAACUUGGAAACAAUUAUUGACAAACAAUAAAGUGUAUUGGUAUUCUUGUAAAAAUCAAUAGAGAGAGAGAGAGAGAGAGAGGAAGGAUAGGAGAGAGUCAGUUGUAAAGAUUUAUGUCUUUUUAACCAGACAUGUCGAUUACAUUAGAAUUUCAGAGGCCUACAGUUCUCCCUUAAAUGGUCAUAGUUAAUACAUGAAGUAGUUAAAGUAGAGGACUUUAGUGUGACCAGUGAAAACAAUCAGGCAGCUGCCAUUGGUUUAAAUCUCUUUUUUCGAAGAUGUUUUGGUUACAUUAGAAUAAAUCUGUAGGAAUGACAAAAAAAAUGUAAAAAAAGUAAUUUGUGGUAUUUUGUACAGUUUCAUUAUGCAAUCUUGAAUACAUUUAUGAUUACUAUUUAUAAAGAAGUAUUAUCAUUAGAAUGAGGAUGGAAAAUGUUUAAACAUUUAUUUGAGACAGAGUUUUGCAUUAUUUCAUUAAAAUUAUUAAAUUCUUUUUGUGUGAAUGAAGGACAAACAGGGAAAACAGAAGCUAUUCUAUGAAUUUCAAAUUGUAUUUAUUUACAUUUGAUUGAUUAGUUGAAGAUUAACUACAAGUAUUCAGCAUAGUACAAAAUUAAGGAUGCACUGCAAGUGUAUAUUAUCUUUAUAGUUAUCAUCACACUAUGUCCAAUCUAGAUGUACAACACUCUUUUUUAUAGUGUUCUGUAAAUUAUCAGGAACACCAGUUGUGAUGAAUGGGAAGACUGGCAGGCUGAGAAAUGGGUAUAAGGGGAGGGAAUACCCCUGCUUAUCUUUUCAUACUGGUUAGUUCCUUUGGUAAAGGUUUUGUACAAAUGUUGUUCAUAUCAGAUGUAUACGAUUUGAAGAGAGUUGUUAUUUGGAGCUCUGUAAAAAAAAAAAAAAGAAAGAAAAAAAAAGAAAAAAAAAAAAGAA